RNAcentral lists this non-coding RNA (227 nucleotides) under bovine gut metagenome. The record is from RNAcentral.
UCCUGCAUUUGCGGGAUGAAGAGGGAAGCCGGUGAGAAGCCGGCACUGUGUCUCAGCAACCGUGACAUUCGUAUUCUGUGCAGUGAUGAAGGGACCAUAGUUUAUGGCCGGGAACAACCCACUGAAAGGAUCGUGAUCUUUUGGGAAGGGAACUGCACAGUGCGACCGAUGAUCAUCCGGACGGAGAUCACGCGCACGAAUCAAGUCGGGAGACCUGCCGAAAACUG